Molecule: ribosomal RNA, 1356 nt
Filed under: uncultured bacterium
Lineage: Bacteria
Description: bacterial SSU rRNA
Rfam family: Bacterial small subunit ribosomal RNA
Source: RNAcentral
GACGAACGCUGGCGGCGUGCUUAACACAUGCAAGUCGAACGAUGAAGCCUAGCUUGCUGGGUGGAUUAGUGGCGAACGGGUGAGUAACACGUGAGUAACCUGCCCCUUUCUCUGGGAUAAGCGCUGGAAACGGCGUCUAAUACUGGAUAUGCCUCAUCACCGCAUGGUGUGUGGGGGGAAAGAUUUAUCGGAGAGGGAUGGACUCGCGGCCUAUCAGCUUGAUGGUGAGGUAAUGGCUCACCAUGGCGACGACGGGUAGCCGGCCUGAGAGGGUGACCGGCCACACUGGGACUGAGACACGGCCCAGACUCCUACGGGAGGCAGCAGUGGGGAAUAUUGCACAAUGGGCGCAAGCCUGAUGCAGCAACGCCGCGUGAGGGAUGACGGCCUUCGGGUUGUAAACCUCUUUUAGUAGGGAAGAAGCGAAAGUGACGGUACCUGCAGAAAAAGCACCGGCUAACUACGUGCCAGCAGCCGCGGUAAUACGUAGGGUGCAAGCGUUGUCCGGAAUUAUUGGGCGUAAAGAGCUCGUAGGCGGUUUGUCGCGUCUGCCGUGAAAUCCCGAGGCUCAACCUCGGGCUUGCGGUGGGUACGGGCAGGCUAGAGUGCGGUAGGGGAGAUUGGAAUUCCUGGUGUAGCGGUGGAAUGCGCAGAUAUCAGGAGGAACACCGAUGGCGAAGGCAGAUCUCUGGGCCGUUACUGACGCUGAGGAGCGAAAGCAUGGGGAGCGAACAGGAUUAGAUACCCUGGUAGUCCAUGCCGUAAACGUUGGGAACUAGAUGUAGGGCCUGUUCCACGGGUUCUGUGUCGUAGCUAACGCAUUAAGUUCCCCGCCUGGGGAGUACGGCCGCAAGGCUAAAACUCAAAGGAAUUGACGGGGGCCCGCACAAGCGGCGGAGCAUGCGGAUUAAUUCGAUGCAACGCGAAGAACCUUACCAAGGCUUGACAUAUACGAGAACGGGCCAGAAAUGGUCAACUCUUUGGACACUCGUAUACAGGUGGUGCAUGGUUGUCGUCAGCUCGUGUCGUGAGAUGUUCGGUUAAGUCCGGCAACGAGCGCAACCCUUGUCCUAUGUUGCCAGCACGUUAUGGUGGGAACUCAUGGGAUACUGCCGUGGUCAACACGGAGGAAGGUGGGGAUGACGUCAAAUCAUCAUGCCCCUUAUGUCUUGGGCUUCACGCAUGCUACAAUGGCCGGUACAAAGGGCUGCGAUACCGUAAGGUGGAGCGAAUCCCAAAAAGCCGGUCUCAGUUCGGAUUGGGGUCUGCAACUCGACCCCAUGAAGUCGGAGUCGCUAGUAAUCGCAGAUCAGCAACGCUGCGGUGAAUACGUUCCCGGGCCUUGUACACACCGCC